Molecule: long non-coding RNA, 1068 nt
Organism: Brassica oleracea var. oleracea
Lineage: Eukaryota; Viridiplantae; Streptophyta; Magnoliopsida; Brassicales; Brassicaceae
Exons: 4
Source: RefSeq, a predicted model, not a curated record
UCAGUUUAGGGUUUCAUCUUCUUAUUCGAUCUCUCUCAAUUAAUUAGGGUUUCAUCUUCUUCUUCGAUCUGUCAGUGGAUUAACCAGCAAUGGAGAUUCAACAUCUCGCGUUUGACGAAUCGGCGUGAAGAGAAUUUGUAAUUUGCGCCGUUAGCAUCAAAUCGUCUUUAGUUUGUAGACGUUACGUGAUCUAUUGAUUCAUUGUCUUUAAUUAACAUCUUUAAUUAGUCGACGCAAAUUAAGGAAGACGAUUCAUUCAAUGAUAAUCAUCAUAGUUCUAGGCGGUGUUUUCCAUGUAUAAAUAGGUAAUCCUGCAUCCAUUGAGCAUCAUCCUCACAUUUGGUGAUAAUCGAAAGAAGUUAUUUGAAGAGUUCUUUUUUUUUGUUGGUGGUAAUGGCUAAACCCAUCUGUUCUUGGUGGUAAUGGCUAAAUAAGAGGAGAACGAGAAGAAGAAUAUGGAGGUUUGGAAAAGGAUUUAAGCUCAGCUUUGUUGUGUGGAAGAAGAGACCGAGCAAUUGGAACUUGAAGGUUUAGCUGACCCCAUGAGGAAAGAAGUUGCUUUGGCCAGGAAGGAGAAUGAUUCUGUCAACAAAUAAUUAAAGCCAUUGGCAACGUUGUUUGAAGCUUCUUCCUCCUGAAGAGCUUGAGCAUCUUGAUACCUUAGAGCGUAAAGAGUCAAGCUCCACUGUUAAGAAACUUGUGUACCUAACCGGUGCAGAUUCAAGCUCUCCUGUUCGUGGGAACAUGACACGUUUUAAUUUGUUUACUGGGAACCAGACUUUUGCUGAGAGAGAGAGUAGUUUUCAGGUAAGUGAGACAGUUUCGGGGCACUGUGGGUUUUCAACGAGAAUGGAGGGUUUAAAAUUUUGGAUGAGAAUAAGAAGUAUAUGUGAAGUUGUCAAAUUGUAGUCUCCGCAUGUGCUUUUGGUGGGGGAGAUAACCUUGACCAACCUAUUGGAAUGUCUAAGGCGUCAACUCAAAAGGUUUUUCAAUCUGAUUCUCUUGAACUGUUUUAAUUUUUGAACACAUCUUUGGUCUUUUGUUUAACUAUUCUAUCUGCUGCAUGCA